CACUUAAUGUGUGCCAAGAUCUGUUCAUUUAUGAUCUCACCGCAUCCUGUGAGGUUGGCAUUGUUGUCUGGCAUUGUCUGAUAUACAACAGUGCCAACCUCACAGGACUCAGUGAGGUGAAACUGAGGAUUAGGAAGGUGUA
RNAcentral lists this microRNA precursor (142 nucleotides) under Gorilla gorilla gorilla (western lowland gorilla). RNAcentral's name for it is "miRNA (ENSGGOG00000028922.2)". The stretch from base 16 to 133 matches the Rfam family "mir-1294 microRNA precursor family". The record is from RNAcentral. Lineage: Eukaryota; Metazoa; Chordata; Mammalia; Primates; Hominidae.